AAGGCAGCAGGCGCGCAACUUACCCUAAUCUCGAUUCGAGGAGGUAGUGACAGAAAUACCGAUGCGGGACCCUACGGGUGCCGCGUUCGGAAUGAGUACGAUUCGAACCACCUAACGAGGAACGAUCGGAGGGCAAGUCUGGUGCCAGCAGCCGCGGUAAUUCCAGCUCCAAUAGCGUACGUUAAAAGUUGCUGCAGUUAAAAAGCUCGUAGUUGAACGUUCGGGUUCCGCGGGACGGGGCCGCCCCGCGAGGGACGGCGCCGCCCCCGGGGCUCGUGAUAUCUCAUCUCGCCGCCCGUCGCGAGGCGGACGGAGGGGAUGGAUGAGGUUACCUGGAAAAAAUCGGGGCGAUCUAGGCGGGCGAACCUCGCCAACGAACGAUCGGACAUGGGGAUAACGGAAGAGGGCGUCGGCUCGACUUCGUCGGUUCCUCGGGCCGAGGCACGUACGGUG
Molecule: ribosomal RNA, 453 nt
Filed under: uncultured eukaryote
Lineage: Eukaryota
Description: bacterial SSU rRNA
Rfam family: Eukaryotic small subunit ribosomal RNA
Source: RNAcentral